CCUGCGCACUUUCCUUCGCCGAGGCCGCGCCCUACGCCAGCCGGAAGGACGUAUAAAGGCUCGCGCCGGCGCCGUGCGGUCCCUUAGUGUCCGUGGGUUUGUUGUCUCUUCAGGUUCCCCUGGAUCUGGAUGUGGCCGCCGCCUCCCGCAAGAAUGGCAGGGUUCGUGUGUCUCUUUUUCUCAAAUAAAAUGAUUUAACUGAA
Long non-coding RNA from Mastomys coucha (southern multimammate mouse), 203 nucleotides. RefSeq lists it as uncharacterized. The transcript is spliced from 2 exons. NCBI's taxonomy places the organism in Eukaryota, Metazoa, Chordata, Mammalia, Rodentia, Muridae. The record is from RefSeq and is a predicted model, not a curated record.